This is a non-coding RNA of Taeniopygia guttata (zebra finch), 836 nucleotides long. The record is from RefSeq and is a predicted model, not a curated record. Lineage: Eukaryota; Metazoa; Chordata; Aves; Passeriformes; Estrildidae.
UAAGUGGGUGCUGCCCAUAGGAGGAGUAUGGAGUGGAUAUGUGUAAACAUAAAACCAAUCGGGAAGGGGAAGGGGAGAGUGCAUACCUAAUGUGCCAGUGAGUGAGGGAAAAUAUAGCUGACAGGGAAUCUUCCAGAUAAACGGGUGUAGCAAAUAAUGGCAGACAAGCUGCAGGGGCAGGAUUUAGAAGAUAGACAGCGAAAGGUCAGGAAAUAAGGGAGGUAUAUCCCAGGAUUGACAUGGGGAAAGGCAGGAAAGCAGAUGGAAAACCACUUUGGGGAGAGUUUAAUUGUUUAAAAUAAUUGCAAACCAUUGUAAUUAUUUUAAACAAUUUCUUAAACAUAAACUUCAAAAUCCCACUACUAUGGCUUUUGAGGCCCCAAAGUGUUACUCUGAAAUUCUGUUUUAAUUUUAAAAUACAGUCUUUGAUCUAUAGACCUUUCUCACUCAAUAAAGUACAAAUCCAGAACAAAAUGUGGUACCUCAUUGACUAGUUUUAUGUCACAGACAUCUUUCCAGCCCUAUGUUCUCCAGUUCCUAUGGAGGUAGCUACGCUGCAGUCAUGAUCUCACAGUGGUCUACACAUACCGUCUAUCAUAUGCUCAUCUCUUGGGAACUAUCACCAAUGCAUCCCACAGGUGGCUACAAUUCCAAUUCCAAUGUCACCAACAUCUGGUUAUAGAUGACAAAAAUUUCCCUCUUCUCUUCAGACUCCGCGUACCUGGAAGAUCAACAAAAUGUUAUUUGAGAAUUACCGGGCUCCAUUUUCUUCUCUGUCUGGAAGGUUGUGCUAGAAUGAUAUUGCAAGAGCUACUACAACAGAAAGGUCCAUGCAA